GGGAGGGCUCCGGGUCCCCCCCCUUUCCCUGAGGGGCAUUUUUGGGGGGCUUCAGAUCCCCCCCCCUCCUUGGGGGGCAUUUUUGGGUAACUGCAGCCCCCCCCUAUAGAUGGCACUGCCCCAUUCGGAGCCCCCCCCGCACCCCCACCCCCCCCGGCGCCGCUUUUCCCUUUGGGUUUUCCAGUUGUGCCUUAACCGGGGAGCAGCGCUCAGUGGGACAACAGUGGGACACCAAUGGGGCACCAAUGGGACCCCCCGUGUGACACCGAGGGGACACCAAUGGGACCCCAAUGGGACACCGGGACCCCCAGUGUGACACCAAUGGGACCCCAGUGAGACCCCCUGUGUGACACCAAGGGGACACCAAUGGGACACCAACGGGACCCCAGUGAGACCCCCAGUGUGACACCAAUGGGACCCCAAUGGGACCCCCCGUGUGACUCCAAUGGGACACCAACGGGACACCAAUGGGACACCGGGACCCCCAGUGUGACACCAAUGGGACCCCAGUGAGACCCCCAGUGUGACACCGAGGGGACACCGAGGGGACACCGGGACCCCCAGUGUGACUCCAAUGGGACACCAAUGGGACACCAAUGGGACUCCAAUGGGACACCAAUGGGACCCCCAGUGUGACACCAACGGGACCCCAAUGGGACCCCCCGUGUGACACCAACGGGACACCAAUGGGACACCAAUGGGACCCCCAGUGUGACACCGAGGGGACACCAGUGGGACCCCAGUGGGACACCGGGACCCCCAGUGUGACACCAACGGGACACCAAUGGGACACCAAUGGGACCCAAAGUGUGACACCAAUGGGACACCAAUGGGACACCAAUGGAACACCAAUGGGACCGCCAGUGUGACACCAAUGGGACCCCAAUGGGACCCCAGUGUGACUCCAAUGGGACACCAAUGGGACCCCCCCUGUGACACCGAGAAGACACCAAUGGAACACCAAUGGGACCCAAAGUGUGACACCAAUGGGACACCAAUGGGACCCCAGUGUGACUCCAAUGGGACCCCCAGUGUGACACCAAGGGGACACCAAUGGGACCCCCCGUGUGACACCAACGGGACACCAAUGGGACACCGGGACCCAAAGUGUGACACCGAGAGGACCCCCAGUGUGACACAAAGGGGACUCCAAUGGGACACCGGGACCCCCACUGUGACACCGAGGGGACACCGAGGGGACACCGGGACCCCCAGUGUGACUCCAAUGGGACCCCAGUGAGACCCCCAGUGUGACUCCAAUGGGACACCAACGGGACACCGGGACCGCCAGUGUGAUACCAGUGGGACCCCAGUGAGACCCCCAGUGUGACACCGAGGGGACACCGAGGGGACCCCAAUGGGACCCCAGUGUGACUCCAAGGGGACACCAAUGGUUCCCCCAGUGUGACACCGAGGAGACACCAAUGGAACACCAAGAAGACACCAAUGGGACCCCCAGUGUGACACCAGUGGGACACCAAUGGGACACCAAUGGGACACCAAUGGGACACUGGGACCCAAAGUGUGACACCGAGAGGACCCCCAGUGUGACACCAAUGGGACACCAAUGGGACACUGAGGGGACACCAAUGGGACCCACAGCGCCCCAAUGUGACACUGAGGGGACAGUGGGACCCCCAGCACUUUGAGGUGACCCGGAGGGGACCCCCACCACUCUGAUGUGACCCCGAGGGGACCCCCGAUGUGACACUGAGGGGACAGUGGGACCCCCAGCACUCUGAUGUGACCCCGAGUGGCCCCACACGGCUCCAUGGGACCCCACUGUGGGGCAGUGGUGGUUAUGCGGGGGGGUCGGGGGCUGCUGCCCCCCCCCACAGCCGCCCCCUGCAGAGCUGUCCCCCCCCCC
RNAcentral lists this long non-coding RNA (1867 nucleotides) under Gallus gallus (chicken). The record is from RNAcentral. Lineage: Eukaryota; Metazoa; Chordata; Aves; Galliformes; Phasianidae.